This 497-nucleotide ribosomal RNA is filed under the name uncultured bacterium. RNAcentral describes it as "partial 16S ribosomal RNA". It matches the Rfam family "Bacterial small subunit ribosomal RNA", at positions 28 to 507 of the family's 1533-position model. The record is from RNAcentral.
GAUGAACGCUGGCGGCGUGCCUAAUACAUGCAAGUCGAGCGAACGGACGAGAAGCUUGCUUUUCUGAUGUUAGCGGCGGACGGGUGAGUAACACGUGGAUAACCUACCUAUAAGACUGGGAUAACUUCGGGAAACCGGAGCUAAUACCGGAUAAUAUUUUGAACCGCAUGGUUCAAAAGUGAAAGACGGUCCUGCUGUCACUUAUAGAUGGAUCCGCGCUGCAUUAGCUAGUUGGUAAGGUAACGGCUUACCAAGGCAACGAUGCAUAGCCGACCUGAGAGGGUGACCGGCCACACUGGAACUGAGACACGGUCCAGACUCCUACGGGAGGCAGCAGUAGGGAAUCUUCCGCAAUGGGCAAAAGCCUGACGGAGCAACGCCGCGUGAGUGAUGAAGGUCUUCGGAUCGUAAAACUCUGUUAUUAGGGAAGAACAUAUGUGUAAGUAACUGUGCACAUCUUGACGGUACCUAAUCAGAAAGCCACGGCUAACUACGUG